GUGCCUGUGGCAUAGUCAGUCUGCGCGUCUGGCUGAAAACCAGCAGGUCUCGGUGCGAUCCCGAGCGGGCACACCA
Molecule: transfer RNA, 76 nt
Filed under: Chloroflexota bacterium
Lineage: Bacteria; Bacillati; Chloroflexota
Description: Chloroflexi bacterium (hot springs metagenome) tRNA-Phe
Rfam family: tRNA
About the family: Transfer RNA (tRNA) molecules are approximately 80 nucleotides in length. Their secondary structure includes four short double-helical elements and three loops (D, anti-codon, and T loops).
Source: RNAcentral